CAUGCACCAGUGGGGUUCCUCAGCCUGGCCUGUGCCCUCUCGCAAUCUGGGACCCCUUGGGGUAUGUUGGAGAGCCGGUUUCGGCCCAAUUCUGCAGGCCAGGCUGAGGGACCCCACUGGUGCAUG
RNAcentral lists this microRNA precursor (126 nucleotides) under Myotis lucifugus (little brown bat). RNAcentral describes it as "mir-9193 microRNA precursor family". It matches the Rfam family "mir-9193 microRNA precursor family". Lineage: Eukaryota; Metazoa; Chordata; Mammalia; Chiroptera; Vespertilionidae. The record is from Rfam by way of RNAcentral.